This 253-nucleotide ribosomal RNA is filed under the name uncultured bacterium. RNAcentral's name for it is "partial 16S ribosomal RNA". It matches the Rfam family "Bacterial small subunit ribosomal RNA", at positions 524 to 776 of the family's 1533-position model. The record is from RNAcentral.
UACGUAGGGACCAAGCGUUGUUCGGAUUUACUGGGCGUAAAGGGCGCGUAGGCGGCUUGACAAGUCACUUGUGAAAUCUCCGGGCUUAACUCGGAACGGCCAAGUGAAACUGUCAUGCUAGAGUGCAGAAGGGGCAAUCGGAAUUCUUGGUGUAGCGGUGAAAUGCGUAGAUAUCAAGAGGAACACCUGAGGUGAAGACGGGUUGCUGGGCUGACACUGACGCUGAGGCGCGAAAGCCAGGGGAGCAAACAGG